RNAcentral lists this ribosomal RNA (273 nucleotides) under uncultured bacterium. RNAcentral's name for it is "partial 16S ribosomal RNA". It matches the Rfam family "Bacterial small subunit ribosomal RNA", at positions 524 to 796 of the family's 1533-position model. The record is from RNAcentral.
UACGUAGGUGGCAAGCGUUGUCCGGAUUUACUGGGCGUAAAGGGAGCGUAGGCGGACUUUUAAGUGAGAUGUGAAAUACCCGGGCUUAACCUGGGUGCUGCAUUUCAAACUGGAAGUCUAGAGUGCAGGAGAGGAGAGUGGAAUUCCUAGUGUAGCGGUGAAAUGCGUAGAGAUUAGGAAGAACACCAGUGGCGAAGGCGACUCUCUGGACUGUAACUGACGCUGAGGCUCGAAAGCGUGGGGAGCAAACAGGAUUAGAAACCCCAGUAGUCC